Molecule: transfer RNA, 64 nt
Filed under: Macridiscus multifarius
Lineage: Eukaryota; Metazoa; Mollusca; Bivalvia; Venerida; Veneridae
Description: tRNA-Asp
Source: RNAcentral
AAUAGGGUAGUUUAUAAAAAAUAUAAGAUUGUCAGUCUUAAGAUAUCUUGAUAGGUUCCUGUUU